AUUGAACGCUGGCGGCAUGCCUUACACAUGCAAGUCGAACGGCAGCGCGGACUUCGGUCUGGCGGCGAGUGGCGAACGGGUGAGUAAUGUAUCGGAACGUGCCCUAGAGUGGGGGAUAACGUAGCGAAAGUUACGCUAAUACCGCAUACGAUCUAUGGAUGAAAGUGGGGGACCGUAAGGCCUCACGCGCAUGGAGCGGCCGAUAUCUGAUUAGCUAGUUGGUAGGGUAAAAGCCUACCAAGGCGACGAUCAGUAGCUGGUCUGAGAGGACGACCAGCCACACUGGGACUGAGACACGGCGCAGACUCCUACGGGAGGCAGCAGUGGGGAAUUUUGGACAAUGGGGGCAACCCUGAUCCAGCAAUGCCGCGUGUGUGAAGAAGGCCUUCGGGUUGUAAAGCACUUUUGUCAGGAACGAAACGGUGGGGGCUAAUAUCCUCUGCUAAUGACGGUACCUGAAGAAUAAGCACCGGCUAACUACGUGCCAGCCGCCGCCGUAA
Molecule: ribosomal RNA, 500 nt
Filed under: uncultured bacterium
Lineage: Bacteria
Description: partial 16S ribosomal RNA
Rfam family: Bacterial small subunit ribosomal RNA
Source: RNAcentral